GCUGUGAUCGUAUAAUGGUUAGUAAAUUGCGAUGAGGCCGCAAUAACCCAGGUUCGAAUCCUGGUCACGGCA
This 72-nucleotide transfer RNA is filed under the name Nematostella vectensis (starlet sea anemone). It matches the Rfam family "tRNA". Rfam says of the family: Transfer RNA (tRNA) molecules are approximately 80 nucleotides in length. Lineage: Eukaryota; Metazoa; Cnidaria; Anthozoa; Actiniaria; Edwardsiidae. The record is from Rfam by way of RNAcentral.